This 252-nucleotide ribosomal RNA is filed under the name uncultured bacterium. Its description in RNAcentral is "partial 16S ribosomal RNA". It matches the Rfam family "Bacterial small subunit ribosomal RNA", at positions 524 to 776 of the family's 1533-position model. The record is from RNAcentral.
UACAGAGGGGGCAAGCGUUAUUCGGAAUUAUUGGGCGUAAAGGGCGCGCAGGCGGCGAUUCAAGUGACGGGUGAAAUCCCUCGGCUUAACCGAGGAACUGCCUGUCAGACUGGAUUGCUUGAGGCCGGGAGAGGCGAGUGGAAUUCCCAGUGUAGCGGUGAAAUGCGUAGAUAUUGGGAGGAACACCAGUGGCGAAGGCGGCUCGCUGGACCGGUUCUGACGCUGAGGCGCGAAAGCGUGGGAGCAAACAGG